CCCCACGUUAGAGCGAGGGUUGGAAUAACAAGGGCUGUUUCGUUUUCUGGAACCCGAGUAAAACUCAGAAGAAAAACAGACUUAGAUUACACAUUGCUACUAUGAGUCCUUUUUUAUUAGAUCAGCUAAUAUUUUAAACAGCAGAUAAGCAGGCAGAAUUGGGGGGCUCUAAUCAAAAUCUGUGUCACCUUUAGGAACCUUGAAACAGCUAAAAUCGAUUUCUGCAGUGUAAUCAUUGUUCCAGAGCCAUGUUUCUGCAUUUGGUUCCUUAAGCCUGUCUACAGCCUUAGAGUUCAGGGCAGCAGUUUCUGGGACGUGAGGUUGCAGCCACUCUUCAUCUGUCGGCCUCUGAAAGAGGAGGGUUGGGGCUUAAGUCUCUAAAGGAUGUUAAGUUAGGGAAAGGGACUCCUUUCCAGGCAGCCCUCACAAGCUCCAAGAGCGUGGGAGCGAAGGCCUCCUUCUGGGCUUGAUUUCUGACCCUCGGUCUUGGUUUAAUACCCACAGUGGAGGAUUCUCUUUGCAUGUCAUUCAGAAAUACCAGGUUUCCUGAAACAUAUAUUAAGAACUUCAGGCAUCCAAGCAGAAUUAUAUUAUGGACACCAUACAGUGAAUUCAGGUCACAUGACAGCAAGUGGACUGAAUGCAGGCCCAUCUUCUCCCGUUCUGCCCGGUGUGGUCGGUGUUUGCACCAAGAGUGCACGAAAAAUAGUUACCUCCUUUGGACAUUGAAGAAAUGGGCCUCUGUUGUAAAGGGGGCUGCAAUGGCGAUUGUGAUGCCUUUCAAACUAGCAUAAAAGGAUCAACCUGUAUUCUUGGAACUGAUACACUUUUAAACCAAUGUCAAGACCAAAGAGAACAUAUAAUAACUGGUGGGGUGUGGUGUGGUGUGAGCAGGCCCGUGGGAUCACCAGCACUCCUGUGUUGGUUGUAAAGCACACCCAGGUUGCUCGUGUUUUCUCUAAACACUUGCCACCAAAGUUUUACCAGUCACCAAACUCAGGACAGACUAGCUGUCAUGGGGAGCACCACACCCACAUGGGUCUGCAGACACUCAGCCAAUGUGACCCGCUUAAAAGGAAGGUCCAUCAUGUGUGCUUUGGAGUUCCAUUUAUUUGAAGCACUCUAAAAUGAAAAGUUGAAUUUUAUGUCUCUCCUUUUUUCCUAUUUUCAAAGUUCCAGUGGUAAUGUAAAUUUGAAUCACAAGCUGUAAAUUUGAGUCAGUAUUUUAGAGAGUACUGUUGGAGAAAUGAUCAUUUUCAGAUUCUACUUUGUCAUGAACUCCCUAUGUCAGGUCCCUUCUCUGAGCCUCAUUGUCCCCGUCAGCCAAAAGAGGACAGACCUCCCUUGCCCCCUUCCUAGGAUUUCUUAUUGUGAGAAUCAGAUGUGAUCAUGUGUGCAAGCGUCCCUUGAGAAGGGUGCACAAAGCACUGUGAAAAUGUAAAAUAUUAUCUGUAUGAUUAUGCUGGGAUGGACGAUCUGAAAUGCUGUGACCCACCGGUGAAUGAGUUCACAUGGAAGUACCCAGAGCAAAACUAAAGGCCUCAUGUGACUCUUCCUCUCUCCUGUUUUUGCUUUAAAUUCACUUCCUUUUCCAUUAACUUUUAAGCAACAUUUACUAAACUCCUUUCAUGCUCCUGAUUUUCUGCUGUUUCUGGCCCCAAAAAGGUCAAACAUGAACCCUGCCUUCUGGGAUCUUAGAAUCUAAGUUGGAUAAUACAGAUGGGUAUAAAAGAUGGGACGUACACAUAAAUAACAUGGUUUAAACGUCAGUAAAAUUUGUUUAAAGUGAACAAGUGCAUUAGGUACUCAGCAGCAGAAGUGGAAAGGUUCAUAUUUGGAAACAGGAUCUUGGGGAGAAGUCCACUUCGGCAGCUACCUGAGUGAAGACGGGGAGCUGCCUGGGGAAAUGGUGAGAUGGCGCGGGGAAGCCUAGAGUGGACCUGAGGAAGGAUGGAGUAAGUGGGUGAAGCCGUCACUGAGAGUGAACUUGAUUCUGAUCUACAAUAUGAGGACAGAAUUCCUAACCACACUGCUUAGGGAGUUUUGUAAGGUGAGGAAGUGGUGGUGUGAGUACACAUUUGGAGAAACAUAACGAGAAAAUGACCAGGCCUGUGAAGUCUACGGAGGAAGAGAUCCAUUCUGGAGAGAAGGGGAGUGUACCAAGCUCUGCCAGAGGACCCGAUGUAAAGCAUGAAAAUAGCGAGCGAGUCUCCAAAGCCAGCCUCCAGAGCCUGCUUGUCUGCAUUCGUCCCAGACAGGAGUGGGAGAAAGUCCACUCAUACCUGCAAACAGACCAUUGGCCACACAACCCAUUUUUCUGGGAUGGUAACUUGAACUUCGUUUUUACCUUUAAUCCAACACAUUGACAUAUUCUUGUAACGGGUGAGAGGGGUUUCUACGAGCAGCUGCUGUAACAUAUUCAUAAAAUGUCAUAGGCCGACACUUAGUACGUAGUGAACUAGGAGUGUGUACAUUUCAGGUUUCUUUUGAUAUUUUUGGAGAUGAUUUUCAGUGUUUAAACGAGGACUCCUUUGUAUUAAAAAGACUUGAAAACCGAAACCUCACGGUACGAACCUAACUCCAUGCUUGUGUGUGUGUAAUGGUACACUUGAGAGUUGAUCUUAAGAACACGCAGCAGCAUUGAAAUUUAGGAAAAGAACAUUGAAAUGCCUUUGGAAACACGAAACAAAGUUAGGAACCCGGCGGCCAGCAAGUGAGAAGGAAUGAAUGUCUGAAACUGAGGAACUCUAGUCCAAGUUAGUUUCCCACAGGGUAGAUCCUGAUGCAGGGGGCUUGCUUUUCCAGGUUUUUCUGCUCCGGGGGCCACUUUGAAUUUAAAGGGGGGAAGGGAGAAGGGCCAGAGAGAUGUAAGCGAUUUUGGUCUUGUAGGCCCUGAUUCCGUGCAACCGUUCUGGACAACUUGGAGCCUCAUGCCCACCAGAUUUCAUGCAUUCACAACUUGACCCUCUGAGUUAGGAAUAGUACAGGCUCGAGUUCAAGCCGGACCCCUGCGCUGUUCCUACAGAUGUGGGGAAGGAAGGAGGCGCUAGAGGAUCGGAAGCUCCACCAACGAACUCAGUUGCUCUAAACACCAGAGGGCUCAUUUCAGAAGAGGGGAGUAGACUGAGCUUUGCUCUCCUCCAGAGCAUCGUCCAGGGAGCAUGCAGAUCGGGCUAGCCUUACCCUUACAGGAAAGGUUGCUUAGUAGAGCCGCCCUGGGAUGCCCACUUGUCCCCUCCUACUUUGUCAAGGUCCAUAUUCUCCUGACCCUCCCUGCACUCUCAUUCCGAGAUUAUGAGUGUUAAUGUACGAAAAUACGCAGAGUACAUUGAGGCCACUCGUGGCAUCAGUACUGCAACUUGAACUUGACAAUCAUGGUUUGCUGGUCUCAAACGGGCACUUAAAUUUUGGUAUGGGUCUAUGAUUUAGUAAUUGAAUCCUUCCUUCUCUUUGUCAGUUAUGUUUCUACCCUUCAAUUAGCUGCACUGUUUUCUAAUGUGCUGUAGAGUUUUGGAAAUAAUUUAUGCAAGUGUUUGGUUUCCAUGUUUACAAUUUAUACAGCUUUCCUAGCAUUUUAAAUGGAAAUGUCAAUAAAUGCUACGAAUUGGUGUCAA
This is a non-coding RNA of Miniopterus natalensis, 3614 nucleotides long. NCBI's taxonomy places the organism in Eukaryota, Metazoa, Chordata, Mammalia, Chiroptera, Miniopteridae. The record is from RefSeq and is a predicted model, not a curated record.